RNAcentral lists this ribosomal RNA (394 nucleotides) under uncultured bacterium. Its description in RNAcentral is "bacterial SSU rRNA". It matches the Rfam family "Bacterial small subunit ribosomal RNA", at positions 505 to 898 of the family's 1533-position model. The record is from RNAcentral.
GUGUCAGCAGCCGCGGUAAUACAGAGGGUGCAAGCGUUAAUCGGAAUUACUGGGCGUAAAGCGAGCGUAGUCGGUUAUUUAAGUCGGGUGUGAAAGCCCCGGGCUCAACCUGGGAAUUGCAUUCGAUACUGGAUAGCUAGAGUUCGGCAGAGGGAAGCGGAAUUUCCGGUGUAGCGGUGAAAUGCGUAGAUAUCGGAAGGAACAUCAGUGGCGAAAGCGGCUUCCUGGACCAGAACUGACGAUCAGGCUCGAAAGCGUGGGGAGCAAACAGGAUUAGAUACCCUGGUAGUCCACGCCAUAAACGAUGACAACUAGACGUUGGGAGGGUAAGCCUCACAGUGUCGCAGCUAACGCGUUAAGUUGUCCGCCUGGGGAGUACGGCCGCAAGGUUGAA